CUCAUUCAAUAUUUUGGUGUUCUUUAUUUCCUUAUCUUCGUAAUAUUUCAAAUGAUUUACAUUGGUGAGGCGACCUCUAGAUUAUCUUUUUUUGGUUUAAUGGCUAUGUACACAAUUGGGGUCAACCUUACCCUCACUUGCGCCUUAAAUAAUGUCAUAUCAAAUAAGCCAGCUUGCAUCAACACGGCCUGAAGGUUACACGACAUGGAUGACUGGUUAUAAGCUAAAAAAUCAACAUGAAAGGGGGAUGGGGGUGAUUUGAAGAGUGAGAUAAUAAAAUUGUCGCGUUCAUCAUAUUAGAUAAAGCACAAGAAGAAAAUUGUUUUCAGGUAUUGACAGAGGUAUGAUUCAAUAACAAGUGCGAAUAAUUUAUAGCUAAAUCUGUCUAUUGUGUGAACAGCCAACCUUCAUGCCCUCAAUAUCUUUCAUGAAAGUGAACGGUGAAAUACAACUUUCAUCAAGGACUACUUGUUGUUUCUCUUCUCCAUAGGCAACUUAGUUUCCUCCCCUAAAAAGUAAAAUCAGAUAACUCUGUUUUGGACAUUUGCUCAGCUUCAAUGAAACACAAAAGCGAUACCUUAAUGUCGUCAUUGUAGCUACCUUUUUUGGAAAGAAAACAGAUCAAAGCCCUUGAUGCUUAUGAAUUUUUUUUACUAGUUUGUAGUAUUGCCAACUUGAGGCGCAUUAUAGAGGUUAGUUUGCUUAGAUGCCUUGCUCAUGGAUCUUGUAUACCAUUAAGUGUUACAUAGGAGUUUGGACCUGGGACUUGGCACAUGCUAUCUACUUAGUUGUACACAUAUGAAAAGUGCAUUUUAGCAUUUGGCAAUCUUAUGUGUAUGGAGGAAUUUUACCAUUGGUCUCUGAAUUUUGUUUCGUUCUGUUUCUUUGAUUAAUUGUUGUGUGCUCUAAAAACAACAGAGUGGAGGUGGACUAGCUGAAUUUGUAGUGGCUAAGAAGGGCUUGCCAGUUGCAAGGCCACCUGAAGUUUCAGCAGCUGAAGGUGCAGGCUUGCCUGUUGCUGGGCUCACAGCUCACCAGGCUGUCACUCAAUCUGCUGGGGUCAAGCUUGAUGGAAGUGGUAACCAGAAAAAUAUUCUGAUCACUGCUGCCUCAGGUGGUGUAGGUCACUAUGCAGUUCAGCUUGCAAAGCUUGGAAACACUCAUGUGACUGCCACUUGUGGGGCUCGUAACAUCGAAUUUGUGAAGAGCUUAGGUGCUGAUGAGGUUCUGGAUUACAAAACCCCAGAAGGAGCAGCUCUGAAGAGCCCAUCUGGUAAGAAAUAUGAUGCUGUGAUCCACUGCGCUGCUGGCGUUCCUUGGAGCACUUUUGAGCCAAAUCUGAGUGCAAAUGGGAAGGUUAUAGAUAUCACUCCUGGCCCCAGUGCCUUCAUGACUUUUGCUUUUAAGAAACUUACCUUCUCCAAGAAGCAGCUGGUGCCGCUGCUUUUGAUUCCCAAUGGUGAGAACCUGAAUUAUCUUGUUAAUCUGGUAAAGGAAGGGAAGCUUAAAACAGUCAUCGACUCAAAGCAUCCAUUAAGCAGGGCUGAAGAUGCUUGGGCAAAGAGUAUCGACAGUCAUGCUACUGGGAAGAUCAUUGUGGAGCCGUGAAUGAAAAUAAUGUGCUUGAAUUGCUAAAAUUUCUGCAACUGUGAGGUCUUUCCUGUACAAUGUGGAUCCGAUGGCAUACACAGCUGAUGAGGCAUUGUAUGAUGCGUGAUCUUGCACACCAAUUUCUUUUGACUGGAUGUUUCCCUAAAUGAUAGGGUUUGGGUUGAGUUUAUUAACUAUUGAUUAUGUUUGUUCUUCAAUAUCAGAUGCUUUUUUUUUCAUUUUGGUGUUAUUUUAUUUAAUGACGUGAGACUCACCCAUAUGGGCCAAUUCUAGGUAUAUUUUGUCGUCUAGAGAAUUGAUGUCCUAUGUUGCAGGGGACAUUUCCACUAACUAUAACUAUGAAAAGCUAAAUACGACAAAAAGGUGAUCACUUAGGUUUUUUUUUUAUUUUUUAUUUGGAGACCUGAUGAUGAGAGAGAAAGCCUGAAGAGAUUUUUGAGAGAGAAUUGGGCUAACGGAGCUAUAACUCCGCCACCCACUGUUGUUAAGAGAAAUCAUUGUUGGUAUUUUACUGGAAAAACUGAUUUCGAGGCAGCCAUAUUCGUCAGGUUGGUGCUCCUCCAGUCACCGUUAGAUCUGUACCAUAUUGCUUAGAGAGGUUCACUUGGGUAUCCUUUUUGUUCUUAACGGUGGAGAUCAGAUUUGCACAACUUUGGAAUUGGAUGACCAAACCAUUGAUGCCAAACUCCAUGGCAAAGUUUAUGAUAAAUAACACUUGAGAACUAUAGUUAGAGGGUUGGUAUUGAAGUAGGUACAAACCAUUUUUAAUUGUUCUGGAUAUAAGAAUAACUUUAAAAAAUAAGAUGAAAGUGAUUAUGAAAUUUAAAGAAAACAUUAUUAUCUAAAGCAAAUUAUCUUAUAGAAAAAAUGAAUUUCAUGAUUAGAGUCAUGUGAGGUUAAAUUAUUAUUAUUAUUAUUAUUUUGUUUAAAAAAAAUGGUAUAAAUUGUGUUCACAGCAAACAAAACAGGCAUAAAUUCCUUGGGGGCAUAGUUUGAAUAUAAGCUAAGUCUAACAGAGCUAAACCAAUAUGCUUCGAUAAACCUAAAUGAGAUUGACUAGACUUGUUUAAAGGGAAAGCUAUUUAAUUAAAAUGAUAAUUACCCGAGGAAAAAUCAGAAGAGCCUUAUUAGAGAGAAUUUAAUGCAAGAUAGGAGAAUAUGGAUGACCAAACCAUUGAUGCCAAACUCCAUGACAAAGUUUAUGAUAGAUAACACUUGAGGACCAUAGUUAGAGGGUUGGUAUUGAAGUAGGUACAAACCAUUUUUAAUUGUUCUGAACAUAAGAAUAACUUUAAAAAAUAAAAUGAAAGUGAUUAUGAAAUUUAAAGAAAACAUUAUUAUCUAAAGCAAAUUACCUUAUAGAAAAAAUAAAUUUCAUGAUUAGAGUCAUGUGAGGUUAAAUUAUUAUUAUUAUUAUUUUGUUUAAAAAAAAUGGUAUAAAUUGUGUUCACAACAAACAAAACAGGCAUAAAUUCCUAGGGGGCAUAGGUUGAAUAUAAGCUAAGUCUAACAGAGCUAAACCAAUAUGCUUCGAUAAACCUAAAUGAGAUUGACUAGACUUGUUUAAAGGGAAAACUAUUUAAUUAAAAUGAUAAUUACCCGAGGAAAAAUCAGAAGAGCCUUAUUAGAGAGAAUUUAAUGCAAGAUAUGAGAAUAUGGAUGACCAAACCAUUGAUGCCAAACUUCAUGAUAAAGUUUAUGAUAGAUAACACUUGAGGACCAUAGUUAGAGGGUUGGUAUUGAAGUAGGUACAAACCAUUUUUAAUUGUUCUGAACAUAAGAAUAACUUUAAAAAAUAAAAUAAAAGUGAUUAUGAAAUUUAAAGAAAACAUUAUUAUCUGAAGCAAAUUACCUUAUAGAAAAAAUGAAUUUCAUGAUUAGAGUCAUGUGAGGUUAAAUUAUUAUUAUUAUUAUUAUUAUUUUGUUUAAAAAAAAUGGUAUAAAUUGUGUUCACAACAAACAAAACAGGCAUAAAUUUCUAGGGGGGAUAGUUUGAAUAUAAGCUAAGUCUAACAGAGCUAAACCAAUAUGCUUCGAUAAACCUAAAUGAGAUUGACUAGACUUGUUUAAAGGGAAAGCUAUUUAAUUAAAAUGAUAAUUACUCGAGAAAAAAUCAGAAUAGCCUUAUUAGAGAGAAUUUAAUGCAAUAUACGAGAAUAUGGAUGACUAAACCAUUGAUGCCAAACUCCAUGACAAAGUUUAUGAUAAAUAACACUUGAGGACUAUAGUUAGAGGGUUGGUAUUGAAGUAGGUACAAACUAUUUUUAAUUGUUCUAGAUAUAAGAAUAACUUUAAAAAAUAAGAUGAAAGUAAUUAUGAAAUUUAAAGAAAAUAUUAUUAUCUAAAGCAAAUUAUUUUAUAGAAAAAAAAAAUUUCAUGAUUAGAGUCAUGUGAGGUUAAAUUAUUAUUAUUAUUAUUAUUAUUUUGUUUAAAAAAAAUGGUAUAAAUUGUGUUCACAACAAACAAAACAGACAAAAAUUCCUAGGGGGCAUAGUUUGAAUAUAAGCUAAGUCUAACAGAGCUAAACCAAUAUGCUUCGAUAAACCUAAAUGAGAUUGACUAGACUUGUUUAAAGGGAAAACUAUUUAAUUAAAAUGAUAAUUACCCGAGGAAAAAUCAGAAGAGCCUUAUUAGAGAGAAUUUAAUGCAAGAUAUGAGAAUAUGGAUGACCAAACCAUUGAUGCCAAACUCCAUGACAAAGUUUAUGAUAGAUAACACUUGAGGACCAUAGUUAGAGGGUUGAUAUUGAAGUAGGUACAAACCAUUUUUAAUUGUUCUGGACAUAAGAAUAACUUUAAAAAAUAAAAUGAAAGUGAUUAUGAAAUUUAAAGAAAAUAUUAUUAUUUUAAAAAAUUAUCUUAUAAAAAAAAUGAAUUUCAUGAUUAGAGGCAUGUGAAGUUAAAUUAUUAUUAUUAUUAUUAUUAUUAUCUUUAAAAAAAAUGAUAUAAAUUAUGUUCACAGUAAAUAAGCAAAUAAAACAGACAUAAAUUUUUAGGGGGAUUGUUAUAACCGACUUGUAUUUUGUCCUUUCCAUUAAUACAAAAAAAAAAGAUACCAAAAGUUUGUCGUUUCCCGUUAGGCAGACAUGUGGAACACAGUACGCCUUUCUUAUAUCUCUUUUAAGUUUAACCGUUAAAGCCACCACCUCCUCUCCUGCCAGUUCCUAUUACGCUCCACCUCUUUUUUCUUCUCUUCUUUCCGUGCCCAGUUUUUUUUCCUUCUGUUUCUCUGAUAACAGCGGCGUCGCUUCUACUGGAUAUGGCGGGGAAGCUGAUGCAUGCCGUUCAGUAUAGCACCUAUGGAGGAGGCGCCGCUGGUUUAAAGGUUAAUUGUUUUUUUAACCAAAUUUUGGUAGCGUAAUUAUAUGUCCCUUUUCUUUUCUUUGAUCACCAUUUAGUUAGUUAGUAAUUGUUGAAACAUGGAGAUGAAUUAUAGAUUGUUGCCCCCAUUUCUUUUUGUUUCUAAAUUAAAUAAUAAUAAUGGUGGUGGUGGUGGUGGAGGAGGAGAAGGAUUAGAUGUAAUGUGAGUUUUGCUUUAAUUUUUGAUAAAAUAGUUAAAUAAUAAAGGUGUUUGAAAGUGUGAAAUUGUUAUUUUUAAAAUAUUUCUUUUAAAAAUAUGUUAAAAUAAUUUUUUUUAAUAUCAAAUUAUUAAAAUAAUAAAAUAUAAAACAAUAUAUAUAUAUAUAUUAAAUCAAUUUGAACCGCAAUCCGAAACACGCACGAAAAAGAGGCAUUGAUGCACCUACUGUGAGUUACUGCUAUUAUAUAAAUAGUUUUGCUUGUUGUAGCAUGUUGAGGUUCCAGUCCCUAGUGCCAAGAGAGACGAGGUUUUGCUCAAGUUAGAAGCAACUAGUCUAAACCCAGUCGAUUGGAAGAUGCAGAAUGGGUUGUUGCGCCCCCUACUCCCUUGGAGAUUCCCUUACGUCCCCGGUGAUUCACUUCUUUCUUUAUGUGGACUUUGAUUUUUAUAUGUAAUCUGACUCAGACACUAUCUUACUGCUUGUUAAGGCUUUUGAUUGCACAUAAAUUCCGCCAUAUAGCCUAAUCCACAAGGAUUCUUUGUAAUGUUAGUUGAUUGCAUGAUUUUCUUCUUUUAGGUGCUUACUCAUUAUUUUGAUUUGGGCCGUGUUUGUUUCCUGGAAUUCACUUUCCGGAAAACCACUUUCCAAACUUUCCUAUGUUUGUUUGCUAUUAGGAAAGUUGGUCAACGGAAAACACUUUUCGGUCAAAGAAAAAUUUGGUUUGGUUUUCAGGAAAGUGUUUUCCCUUUUGGCUGUGUUUGUUUUCCGGAAAGUGGUUUCCGGGAAACCACUUUUCAAACUUUCCUGUGUUUGUUUGCCAUUAGAAAAGUUGGUCAACGGAAAACACUUUCCAAUCAAAGGAAAAUUUGGCUUGGUUUUCAGGAAAGUAUUUUCCUGGAAAAUUUGGGCGGAAAACACUUUCCGGAAGUUGUGAAAAAUUUAGAAAUGUCAUUAUUUGCUGAUUAUAUCAAAUUUGAUCCUCAAACUUUUGAUUGCUAUAUAUAAUUUGUUUUGAAUAUUUAUUUUUCAAUUUCAUCUCUUAAAAUUUAAUUUUUAUAUUAAUUUUGGUCCUUAUUUUUAUAAUUGCUAUUUGCUUUUUCCUUAUCAUUUUUUUAUUGAAAUUUUUUAUCUAUCAAAUUUGAUCCUCAUUUUUUUUUAUUGUUACUUAUUUUAUUUGAAAUAAUUUAUAAAAUGUUAAUUGUUAUUAUUUUAAUUUCUUCACCUUUUUUUUUUUUUAAUUUUUUAGAUUUGAUCUCUAUUUUUUUGAUUAUUAUUUAUUUUAUUUGAGAUAAUUUAUGAAAUUAUAUUUUUUUUCAAUCUCAUUCUUAUUUAACUUUUUAAUUUGUAAGAUUUGUUCCUCAUUAUUUUAAUAAACUUGAGAAAAAUAAAACAUUAAUAAGUUAUUUUCCAGCUCAUUUUCCAUGACAUAACCAAACACUAGAAAAUAUUUUCCAACUUAUUUUUCAUUACACUACCAAACAUCGGAAAAUUCUUUCAUGAAAUUCACUUUCCCGGAAUUUACUUUUCCCGAAAUUCACUUUCCAAAAAGAAACUACUUUUCAGCAAACAAACGGGACUUAGGAUUUAAGUUUGUAACGGUGUGGUGUUGCAUCUAGGAAACUUUGGAAACGGGUUUGGUGUUACUGGGGACCAUCUCAAUAGAAUCGUUUCCAUAUAAAUAUUAAAUACUAGUUGUCAAUAUUAAAUAUUAGUUGCCAAUUCGAUACUUUUUUGUUCCUUUGUUUAGCUUUCAGAAUGCGGAACUUGGAAACUGGCAUACCUUUGUCAUUUUUUUAUGGUAUAUGACAAUGCAAAAGCAAUAAUCUUUACUUACCAUUUCAAACGUUUGACUUCAGUUCAGUGGUGUCAAAGUUUUGGGAAUUCGUGUUGGGGUGCUGUUUGGCAGAAGGUUUCCUUUCCAUGGUUACUCUGUCAGUUCCAGUGGCUUGUGGGUUCUUUACUUGGUCUCGUUUAAGCAAUGUAAAAGCUUAAAAAGAGGGUUCCUUGUUAAGAUUAGAUGGUUGUUGUGGUCACUGCUCCAGGACUUGCACCAUACUCUCUGUUCAAUGAACUGCCCCAUAUGUCAACAAAGAUCUACAAUUUUUAAAACAAGAUACAAAUGGAGAAACAACUGAUCUAAACUUUAUUUCCAGCACCCUUCUGAAAGAUAGCUUGUAAUCCAUGUGGUUAACAUUCUUUCAAUCUCAUGCUGAAAUAUUAAUUUCAUAGUUUUAGCAGUACUGUGUGUUUGCCAAGCAUGCAUUCACACACACACAGCGUUCACUUUUUGGCUGAAGAAACCUUUGUCGCAACAGGCGCUGAUGUGGCAGGAGAGGUUGUAGAGGUUGGACCAGGAGUAACAAAUUUCAAAACUGGUGACAAAGUUGUAGCUAUUCUAAGCCACAUUGUAAGUGCUCAUUCAAUAUUUUGGUGUUUUUUAUUUCCUUAUUUUCGUAAUAUUUCAAAUGAUUUACAUUGGGGUCAACCUUACCCUCACUUGCGCCUUAAAUAAUGUCAUAUCAAAUAAGCCAGCUUGCAUCAACACGGCCUGAAGGUUACACGACAUGGAUGACUGGUUAUAAGCUAAAAAAUCAACAUGAAAGGGGGUUGGGGGUGAUUUGAAGAGUGAGA
This 7762-nucleotide long non-coding RNA is filed under the name Populus trichocarpa (black cottonwood). Its description in RNAcentral is "long non-coding RNA (PTRI_LNC000341)". The record is from RNAcentral. Lineage: Eukaryota; Viridiplantae; Streptophyta; Magnoliopsida; Malpighiales; Salicaceae.